RNAcentral lists this ribosomal RNA (246 nucleotides) under uncultured bacterium. RNAcentral describes it as "partial 16S ribosomal RNA". It matches the Rfam family "Bacterial small subunit ribosomal RNA", at positions 8 to 245 of the family's 1533-position model. The record is from RNAcentral.
AGAGUUUGAUCCUGGCUCAGGAUAAACGCUAGCUACAGGCUUAACACAUGCAAGUCGAGGGGCGAGCAUCAUCAAAGCUUGCUUUGAUGGAUGGCGACCGGCGCACGGGUGAGUAACACGUAUCCAACCUGCCGACAACGACUGGGAUAGCCUUUCGAAAGAAAGAUUAAUACCGGAUGGCAUAAUUAUUCCGCAUGGGAUAAUUAUUAAGAAUUUCGGUUGUCGAUGGGGAUGCGUUCCAUUAGG